GCUGUCUCAGCAGGGGAGAGGCAAGAGGGCUGCCGAGGCUGGCUGGGGCGUGCUGUCUCAAUGGUGGGGGAAGUGGUGGGGAACAAAGGCCUCCCUAAGGGCUCCAUGCCGGAUUCUAGUUUGCCGGCUAAUCAUUGUUAAAUACAUGCACAUAUUUGCUCAGAGCUUGACUGUGUUACUUCUAAUCAAUUCCUUUUUUCCUUUAAGAUCUGGAAAUCCAAUUGGCUAACACAGCAUGAGGUGAGCACAGCCAGGUCCAGGCCUGCACCGCAGUUGUGGCCACACCACAGCUGCCAAGCUGACGCAGGGAUGCCACCACACAGCCAGGGAUGGAGGCCACUUCCCCAGUGUCGGCCCAGGAUGCCAGGCAUCUGCAGAGCCUUCAUCCGGGCCGAGGCUCCCACAGGAAUGCCAACAACACAUCCUCAGGCUCCUCCCUUUGAAGCACAUGAGAGAACGGACACACCAACCCCCACUGGAAGCAGUGAACAGGGGUAUCAGCGAGACAGCAGGGACCCUUCGAGUAUGUGGAAUGUCCCAUGUCAUCCCUACAAAAGUGUGGGGCUGAGCGUCACAUCCCAGCACGGCAUAACGUCGACAGUUUCCUGCUACAAUGACCUCCAAAGGAGGCCUGAGACACAACAGAAGGUGGAGGUUACCUCCAACAUCCAACCCACCAGCACAGACAGAAGGAAGAAAGCUGGAGAAAAGGCCGAGAUGCAAAACUGACCAUGCAGAUUACUCCUUGUACCUGCCAUAAAAAUUGCAUGGAAGAGCUUGAAAGAAAAGGCGCUAAUGAGGUUUGGGGUCAUCAGCGGCUCCCUGCCUCCCCGAGAACAAUAACCAAGACUUCAUCACAUUCUCCUAAACCACGAAGGAACCAACAGCUAAAUGAUAAUGAUAAAAAAUAAUGACUAUUUCCCUGUUAAGUGCUCAUUUCAAUAUCACCCUCUGAGUAUUCUAUGUUUAUGCAUUUCAGAAACCAAAAAUUGAUCAUUUAUGAGUCAGACAGGUCCAGAUACAGGGGUGGAAACAUAAUGAAUUAAGAUGACAUGUUUACUGACUGUGUGCCAAGUGCAGAUAUAUUUUGAAAUAACCAUUGUAUCUACCAUAAUUUAGUAGAGAAAGGCCAAUUGAGCCUUCACUGCAUGAGGUCAUGUAUUAUUUCACCAAAAGUUACAUCUUAGAUUGGAAAGUAUUUAUAAAUAUUAAGCAGCACAAAAUAAUCAAGCUACUAUUCCCUGGGAAUGAAAUGCGUUUCCCCACCUCCUCCGUGCUGCCUAAGAAAUGUCGGAAGAUUCAAUACAGAAGCCAUUAUGAGAACAUAAUGUGUUUGCAGUUAGACAUUUGGAUGGAAUCCAGACCCCACCACUAACUAGGAGUUGGGUCUUCAGCUAGGCCGACCUGAGCUACCUCUGCCACAGGACAGGGACAAGCCUCUAUGCAGAAGGGCCCUCAGGAUGGAGGAUUUGAGUCUUCAGCACAGAGCCCAGCACGAGGGAAGCACUCAAAUAAUGACAAGACCCCAAGACGGAGGAUUUGAGUCUUCAGCACACAGCCCAGCACCAAGGAAGCACUCAAAUAAUGACGAGACCCCAAGACGGAGGAUUUGAGGCUUCAGCACUCAGCCCAGCACCGAGGAUGCACUCAAAUAAUGACGAGACCCCAAGAUGGAGGAUUUGAGUCUUCAGCACACAGCCCAGCACCAGGGAAGCACUCAAAUAAUGACGAGACCCCCAAGACGGAGGAUUUGAGUCUUCAGCACACAGCCCAGCACCAGGGAAGCACUCAAAUAAUACAGC
Molecule: long non-coding RNA, 1802 nt
Filed under: Pan troglodytes (chimpanzee)
Lineage: Eukaryota; Metazoa; Chordata; Mammalia; Primates; Hominidae
Description: lncRNA (ENSPTRG00000053766.1)
Source: RNAcentral